Agelaius phoeniceus (red-winged blackbird) is the source of this 579-nucleotide non-coding RNA. NCBI's taxonomy places the organism in Eukaryota, Metazoa, Chordata, Aves, Passeriformes, Icteridae. The record is from RefSeq and is a predicted model, not a curated record.
GGAAAAGCAAGGUAAUGUGCUGAUGCACAGAAAGCACAAGCACACGAACGGUAAGUCCUUUCACAGCCUUCGAAAACCUGCAAGCAGUUUGUGCCGGAAAACCAAAGGUGGGAAGCAGUACAGAGCUGACAAGACUGCAUGGAGAGAAUGGCUGCUACUCACUGAGGCAUCUUCAUUCUGUGAAGAAAAGGAAGGGGUGCUUGCUGGCAAAAUGGAAGACACCUACACAUUGAUGUGCCAGCCCUGGAAGACCGAAAAAAGCACCAAGUCCUACACAGUUCAACAGAAAGAUUAAUGAAGAAAAUCCACGUGAGCUGGGAUUUGAGUGCUACUGUGGCCCUGAAAGAAGUGAUGGUUUGGUUAUUCAGAUUAAUCACCAUUUCCACACUAAACAAAGACCAUCAGGAAGAAAGUGACUUAAGAAAAUAUGAUCACCACAAGUAGCUGUAGAGCAAGAGGUAAUGACAAGCCAGAAAAGAGAUCAUUUUUCACCUACGCAUAUGGAACACCAAAUGAGACUGAUCAAUUGGUUCAAAUAAUCUAUGACAUGCAGAAAAUAAAGCAAACAAAUGAUGAAUA